UGGGGAUAUUGGACAAUGGGCGAAAGCCUGAUCCAGCCACGCCGCGUGAGUGAUGAAGGCCUUCGGGUUGUAAAACUCUUUUUACCGGGAAAAAAAUCCUUUGUUUCAUCCCGUGUUGACGGGACCGGACCAAUAAAAAAAGCCCCCGUCAAAUUCAGGCCCCCCGGUAAUGAAAAUAA
Molecule: ribosomal RNA, 179 nt
Filed under: uncultured Alphaproteobacteria bacterium
Lineage: Bacteria; Pseudomonadati; Pseudomonadota; Alphaproteobacteria
Description: partial 16S ribosomal RNA
Rfam family: Bacterial small subunit ribosomal RNA
Source: RNAcentral